CAUCUUCCGGGUGUCAUCUCCAUCGAUGCCAUCACGUACGUCGCCUCGGUCUCCCCGACAGAUCACAGACGGAAAGGGAUGGAUCAUGGAUGCCAGGGACUGGUGGUUUGCUGGUUUCAGAAGUGGCCAUUGGCGAGUGGCUAAGGGCGUCCGUCUUUCAGGAGCGAGGUCCAAGUGGAACUAAUCACUUCGAGCAAUAUUGUUGC
RNAcentral lists this long non-coding RNA (206 nucleotides) under Setaria italica (foxtail millet). RNAcentral's name for it is "long non-coding RNA (SITA_LNC001872)". The record is from RNAcentral. Lineage: Eukaryota; Viridiplantae; Streptophyta; Magnoliopsida; Poales; Poaceae.